Molecule: long non-coding RNA, 604 nt
Organism: Cucurbita maxima (winter squash)
Lineage: Eukaryota; Viridiplantae; Streptophyta; Magnoliopsida; Cucurbitales; Cucurbitaceae
Exons: 3
Source: RefSeq, a predicted model, not a curated record
AGAAAAAAAAAAGAAAGAAAGAAGAAGAAGACAGAGGAGAGGGUGGAACGGAGGAGACGAAUGACGGAGCUUGAAGCGCUCGUCAGCAACGGUGGGCCGAACGGCUGAGGAAGGAGAACGCCGAUGGUUAUUGUUGAGGAAAGUUGGUGAGUCCUUGUGAAGAAGAAGGCAUGGGGUGUUGAGAGGAAAGAAAGAUCAAGAAGAAGGUGGGAAGAAGAGGUCAAAAACUGAGGAGGCACGACCUGACCCAACCCGACCCAUCUAUACAGAACUGAAACACGAUUUUUUUCAUUUCACACCAUUUGAUUCGUCUUUAUUCAGAUUUAGGAGAAAAGUAGAUCUGGGUCGGUGGCGGGGACAUGUGGAGUCGUGCAGCUGCAGAAGGGGGCCCUUAGAUUGAGUCAGCUUCUCCCAUGUCAUUUUGGUUAUGAUUUUGACGUUUUUGGAAAACCUGCGAUAUUUUGUAACUGUUUCUUUUUAUGUGACUCCGUGGAUUUUCUUUUAUGUGUUUUGUAGUAUUUUUUUUUUAAAUGUAUAUCAGACAACUUUUAACUUUUAGUCCCUGGUUCAAACUACAAGAAGUAUUGAAAAGUUCUUUUUACUC